Molecule: ribosomal RNA, 308 nt
Filed under: uncultured bacterium
Lineage: Bacteria
Description: bacterial SSU rRNA
Rfam family: Bacterial small subunit ribosomal RNA
Source: RNAcentral
GACGAACGCUGGCGGCGUGCCUAACACAUGCAAGUCGAACGGGACUUGCCCCUUCGGGGACAAGUUUAGUGGCGAACGGGUGAGUAACGCGUGAGGAACCUGCCUUUUCACUGGGGGACAACAGUUGGAAACGACUGCUAAUACCGCAUAAGCGCACAGCUUCGCAUGAAGCAGUGUGAAAAACUCCGGUGGUACAAGAUGGACCCGCGUCUGAUUAGCUGGUUGGUGAGGUAACGGCCCACCAAGGCGACGAUCAGUAGCCGACCUGAGAGGGUGACCGGCCACAUUGGGACUGAGACACGGCCCAA